Molecule: long non-coding RNA, 1105 nt
Organism: Papaver somniferum (opium poppy)
Lineage: Eukaryota; Viridiplantae; Streptophyta; Magnoliopsida; Ranunculales; Papaveraceae
Exons: 6
Source: RefSeq, a predicted model, not a curated record
GGUUUCAUGCUUGGCGACGAUUUGUGCGAAAGUUAAUAGGCUUUGGAGAUCGAAGGACAUCGAACAUUGUGUCUAGGAUUGCCGACGAAAGUUGCACAAUGUAGCUGGUGGUGUUUUCUGGUUUAUUUCGGUGUGCCAAAAAUUGGGCCGUGUACCUUGUGUUGCCUUUAAAGGCUUACUAAAUGAGUACAAUGUGGAGGUGAAGGUCCCCUUCACUUAUUCAGCUCACUGGUAUCAUGAUUCAAAAGAGUUUCUGGAUGAGAAGCAAGCAAUUUACAAAGGGUUCAUGAUACGCUUGCAUGCAUCAUAUCUAUGGAGAAAGAGAAUUCAAGUUUGAAUAGUUAACCAUAUUGAAUUUAUUCCUGGCGUGCCUCCUCUAAGGGUAAGAGAGUGGAACACCGCAUUUGGUAGGGAGUCCACUGGCUGCAUCUUCCUUAAUGUUCUGGUACUUAUUAGCUGCAUCUUUAACACAGCCGCAAGCUUGGCGCUUUUCAUCAGUGGUAGUUGCCAUCCCUUUGAUUUGCUUAACUCCGUCACAACAAGCUGUAACUGGCUGAGGGGCACUGCCCACCAAGUAUGGCAUGCAUUGCACAAGGGACUUAUCAACAUCGGAGCAGGACGAUGCAGGUGUUGUUGUGUCGCACAUCAUAUACAGGACCAUGAGAGGUUCACAUUUUACUACUGUAUGUGUAGUUGAUCUAGACAGUGAUUAUGAAGCGGAGCAUUCAUUAAAAAUUUGUGGUAAGAGUUGUAUUUUAAGGGAACAAGAAAAUCCUUAUGGGGAUACCCGUCUCCCAGAAAGAGCUUUUCUAUUCAGUUUUCCACAUGGGAGUUUAGAAUUCCAAGAUUCUUCUGUUCAUUUUCAUGGAAAAACCUGCUCAAUUUGUUUGAAUAUGUUUAAGAAGCACAGUGAUGAUGUUAUCAAGAUAUGUUGCGGACAUGCUUUUCACUCCAGAUGUCUGAUACCUUGGUUCCACAAAGUUGGUACUUGCCCAGUAUGCUGCUGACGAAGCAAUCAAAUUUUGUAUCCCAUGUAAAUUAGAAUCUCUGUUUUUCUCAAUGUAGUCACUCUGGGACUACUCAUAAAACGUUCCGGAAGGACACU